RNAcentral lists this unclassified non-coding RNA (534 nucleotides) under Hevea brasiliensis (rubber tree). Lineage: Eukaryota; Viridiplantae; Streptophyta; Magnoliopsida; Malpighiales; Euphorbiaceae. The record is from RNAcentral.
GGUUUCGAGAACCAUACGCAACUGUGGUUCUUGUUACAUGUGAGGAUCUUGACGAGUUCAAAACCAUCCUUAAACCACGCCUGAAGUUAAUCGUCCAAAAUGACGAACGGGAAUGGUUUAUUGUAUUUGUGUCUAGAGCUCAUCCAAGUAAUGAUAACGCCACCAAAAUGGCAAAAAAAGUAUAUGCCAAGCUUGAAGUUGAUUUUAGCACAAAGAAAAGAGAGAGGUGUUGUAAAUUUGAUAUUCAUGGCCCUGAAGCAAAUUUUUGGGAAGAUUUGGAAUCCAAAAUUAUGGAAUGUGUCAAAAACACAUUGGAUAGGCGUGUACAAUUUUAUGAGGAUGAAAUACGUAAGCUCAGUGAACAGCGCUUCAUGCCAGUUUGGAACUUCUGUAAUUUUUUUAUACUGAAGGAAAGCCUGGCUUUUAUGUUUGAGAUGGCUCAUCUCCAUGAAGAUGCAUUGCGUGAAUACGAUGAAUUAGAACUCUGUUAUCUGGAAACAGUUAAUACGGGUGGGAAGCAGAGAGAAUUUGGAG